CAAUGUAGAGGAAGAUUGGCACAGAUGUUAGCUAAGGGCAUAUCUUCCUCAACAAUAACAAUAAAAGGGUAGUCUCAACUUGACCCAUACCACUGGAUCCCUACAAAUUUAACUGAGGUAGAAGGUUCCUGAAUUUUAGUCAGACUUAUUUCCCACCCCCUGGUAUGUAGAUGUCUUACGAAGAAGUCUAGAGUAGUUGGUUCUUCUCGCUCAGUAGGUCCAAUCAGCACAAUGUCAUCAGUGUAAUGGAUCAGUGUGAUGUCUAGUGGAAGGGAAAGAGGAUCAGGAUCUUGGAGAACUAAAUUAUGACAUAGGGCUGCAGAGUUCAUAUACCUCUGAAGUAGGUAGGUGUAUUGCCAGCCUUGUCAGCUGAAAGCAAAUUGCUUUGUGUGGACCUGGUAGACAGGGAUGGAGAAAAAGGCAUUUCCCAGAUCAAUAGCUACAUACCAGGUACCAGGGGAUGUGUUAAUUUGCUCAAGGAAUGAAACCACAUCUGGUACAACAACUGUAAUUUGAGUCAACACCUGGUUCAGCUUACAAUAAUCUACUGUCAUUCUCCAAGAUCCAUCUGUCUUCUGCACAGGUCAAAUAGGCAGUUGAAUGGGGAUGUGGUGGGAAUCACCACCCCUGCAUACUUCGAGUCCCUGAUGGUGGCACUAAUUUUUGUAAUCCCUCCAGAAAUGCAGUAUUGCUUUUGAUUUACUAUUUUACUAUUUUCUUAGGUAGAGGAAGUUCUAAUGUCUUCUAUCUGGCCUUUCCCACCAUAAUAGCCCUCUCUCCACAGGUCAGGGAACCAAUGUGGGGAUUCUACCAGCUGCUGAGUAUAUGUAUUCCAAUUAUGCAUUCUGGAACUGGGGAAAUAAUCACAGGAUGGUUUGGGGACCCAUGGGACCAACUGUGAGAGAGACCUGAGUUAAAACUCUAUGGAUGACCCAACUUCCAUAAACCCCUACUCUGACUGGUGGGCCACAGUGACAUUUGGGGUAUCCUGGAAUUAGUGGCAAUCCAGAGCCAGUGUCCAGCCGUCCCUGAAAGUUCUGAUGAUUUUCUUUUCCCCAAUGCACAGUCACCCUGGUAAAAGUCCAUAGGUCCCUUUGGGGAAGGCUGAGAGAAAGAUUAACAGUGUAAAAUUUUGGUAGUGUACCUGGUCCUUUCUCAAGGGAACCCAGCCUUCCCUUCAUUUAAGGACUUCUAGGUCUGUAAAUGCGCUCAAAUCUGGGAAUUGAUUGAGGGACUGUGACUCUGUUUUUAUAGUUCAGGUUAAAUUUUUAGUCACUUGGCUUAGAACUUUUCUGCUUAUACAGAUUGAGUAAGAAUUUUGAAGGCUUUCUGUGUAUUUCACUUGUAAGAACACCAUGAUGAACUAGCCAGUGCCAUAGGUCACUGUGAGUCAGACUAUUCUGAAUACUGCUUUGAUUCUUUUGUCUGUUAUGGUAAUCAUGCCCAUCUUGCCUUUGGCUGUUGAGUGCUGCCACUUGGCCCCUGCUACCUCAGGCUCCAAUUACUCUCACUGAAUUUAGGUUUCCCAGUGGAGUGGCUGCCGUUCCCACCCUCAGGUCUGGCCUGCAGAGAAGAGCAAUCAUGGAGCCCUUCAAGGAUGCUGGGGCUCCCCUCAUAAACUUAUUUCUCUCAGUCUUGAUGGAAGGUAUGUCUUCUGCACCUUCUCAGUGUGAGUGAAUAGGUCUUAAAUACUAAUCCACUCUAACAUUUCAGUCUCUCCAAGCCUUGAAUACCUUCCUCUUCAUUACAUAAAGCAGGUCAGGCAUUUCUAGUUCACUCACUGUGAGCCAUCUUUUGGUCCAUGUUUCAGCCAACCACCAAACAAACUUUUAGAGCCCUUUCUAACUCCCCAAGUUGCAAUAUUAAAUGCAGAAUCUCUGCUUGGUGAGCCCAAAUCCAUAAAUUCGGCCUGAUACACCUUUGUGUUCCUUCCACCAUUCUCCCACACCCUUAGUAUCUAUUCCUACUAAAUGUUCCCUUCAUUUCCAUCUGUAUAAAUUAGAAAACUCUAGUAGUUCUUUUGGAGUGUGGUGUACUUCCUCAUGGGUCACAUUUUGUAUGUCAUCUUUAGGGGCCUGUUGGGACUUGCGUCUAGGUCUUGGUCUGGAAGCAAAGAAGAGUGGUGGAGGUGGGUCCUGAGGAGAAGUAGUAUGGUCUUGUAUGGCAACUGCCUCAGAGGAGGCCUUUAUAAUUUCCUUGGGCAAUGCGGUUAAUCCCCCUAGAUUCCGGUGCAAAGGCCUAUACCACUAUGGGUGGAGAUGCUGCUGCCACUGAAGGGAGUGAGGCCAAUUCCACUGAGGAUGGGGAGACCUCUUCCAUUGGCAAAGAAGAUUCAUCAGAAUUUAGGGACUCAAUUGUCCCAGCUUCAUCAAGGUCUUCCCACAUGUCCCCAUCCCAAUUUACAGGAUCCCAUUCUUUCCCAAUCAAUGCCCUCACUUUAACAGUAGACUCCCUGUGAGUCUGAGGGUUUAACUUGUGUUGUAAUUCAACCAGUUGCAGGAUGAGGUUCUGUGUUUGAUUUUAAGUAAUUUCAGCAUUGCAGCUACAGGAACUAGUGUUUCCUUUAGGGCACACAUAAAAGCUCUUAGGUCAUUUACAUGGUACUUGAGCUGGGAAUUCAAAUCCUUGAGCUCAUGCUUUUCUUUCAUGAAAAGAAAAGCCAGUAACUUUAGGAGCAACCAACCAGUGUCAUUAUAUUCAUCAGUUUUUCAAAAAAUGUUUGAAAGUGUCAUAUACAGAGUACCUCAUUGUUUCUUAUAAGUGGUUGAUUAGGCAUAUCCAAUGCAGAUAUUUUACAUAUCUCUACAAACAGUUCAUGCCUAUUUACUUCUGGAAAUGGAGUUUACUAUUUAUCAGUGCUCUAUUUACUUCUGGAAAUGGAAUCUCUAGCAUCUUUAAAUCUAAUCAGAUUAGAAAGCCAAUUCCAGAAACCCUAGACCCACUUGCAACCAAGGUAAUUCCUUGUUAUAUGAUAUAAUAACUAUUCUCAUUACUUGAACUACAUUUGGUUGUUUUCUGUUUACUUGCAGUCAAAAGCACCUAUCAUAACUCACAUAGUUAUGCCAACUGAUUAGGGCCAUUAAAGCAUAGUGUGUAAGGUAUUGAAUUGCCAAUAUAAUUUAUUACCUAUAAUCAGCAUAUAAUUUACAUAAGUUAGCAUGUUUAUUGUGUGAUGUCUUUAUCAAAAUAUCAGAAUUGGUCUGGGGCAUGACCCACAUUCACUUCAGGCCUCACCUGCUUAGAACCACAGGGAAACUUCCACUUUAACAUUCAGUCCUUACUUGAUUAAUCCCUUGUUUGUUCUUCCUUUAGAAAAUAACCCCCAGGAAGGGACUGGAAUGAGGAAAUAGAGAGCUGACCAAAGGCUAGACAGCUUCUUGUUCCUGACACUGGUCUAGAUGUACUUGCACCAAAAGAUGGGUACCUGCACUAUAAGAGUAGUGGCCCCAGUGAAGGGGGGGGACAGAGUAAGUUUCAGGAGAAGAAGGCACUGAAGUGAUAGGAAAUGACCAGAUAUGAAAUAUAAAGCAGACUUGAGAGGUGAAGGAAGGCAUCUGAGAGGGUUCCAGUGUUUUAGCCUUGGGAAACUGUUCCACCUGAAUUCUUAUAAAACGUUGCCACCCUGUCUGUAGGCAACUCUGACAGUAAGGUCCCAUCCAGCUCAGGCAGCCACUCCUGGACUUGGUGCUGCUGUUGGCUGACACUUGGGUUGUCACUGCAUCUCUCUAUCUCACAGGAUCACUGCUAGAUAAACCACCUACCUGUAUGCGAGCUUUCGACUCAUACUAGAGCACGGCGGGAAGGAUCCAGUAGAAAAGGAAAGAUGAAGACACAGAAGAGGGAAGGGAGAACUGAUGGAGCAAGGCCGCUGAGAAGGCCUUGCUCAUGUGCAUGAGCUCAUCGAGGAUACAAAUCAACUCGAAGGAGGUUGGUGGUAUUCCCAGUGCAUAGACAAGGCAACUGGAUGAACAGACUAAGUCCCAGCAAGUCUAAAUUGCCUAUUCAAGAGCUUCCAGCAGGUCGCUGGCAGAACAGGAGCCAUCCCAUCUCAUAAUGUGAUUCUUAGGUCUAUGAACUUGAGAAGCAAUGAGUCAUGGGCCUGGUACCCAAAUCGAAGCAUGUGCAUUUGAUGAGAGCAGGGACCUGGCCUCACUGAUACACGGCUACAUCCCUGUGGACCAACAACAGAGCUUGACACACAGUAGGUGCUCAAUAAUUGCAGCCUAAAUGAAUGAAUAAGUAAUUUAGAACAACGUUUGCUAUGUUUAUGGCGAGGAUAAUCAUCAAUAAGAGCUAACAUUUCUUGACGUUAGCCGUGUUUUGGAUACUGCUACGGACUUUACAUACAUUGCCUCAUUUAAUUUAAUUUUUUAUUAUUAAAGUCUCAAAAAGCAGGCACUAGUGUUGACUGCUUGGAAGUUGUGGCAUUAAAUAUAUCUUCCUAAAAUUGGGGAAACUGAAUGAAACCUAGACUUGACUUCCCUAAAGGAAAGCCCUGAGUGGCCUUCUGCACGAAGUGGUCCACACUGGCUGAGGAUUGCCAGGAUCCAGGCUGAACUGGUUGGACCAGGGAAACUACUAUACUCAAUACAGUGUCUUGACGCCCUUGCCAGUUUUCCUUUGGGCACGUGAAUAGGGACAGCCAGACUUAGGGUGAUGUCUUGGAAUGAAAUAUCCUGAUACAUUUUUCUAAGUGACGACGGAAAUGUUAACUCUUGUCCUUUACCCCUUGCAUGGCCUGCAAAACCACUAGUAACAGAAAAUAACUUGUGUACAGAAGAACAUGAUGCCAACCAGAGAACAAUCCUUGAUCUUCUCAGUUUUGACCAAAGAAACAAAGCAAAUAGACCAAUUUUGACCUCAGUCAUUUGGUACAUUUCAUGUUGCCUACAAAAGAUAAAGGUCGAUCAACUUCCCUCACGAUAGCAACUCAAUACUUCUGCUCAAUUUUUUUCCAGUUUAAAGUGUCCCAAAGUGCUCGGUCCCUAUUCCACUCUCCACCUUGGUUUCCACUAGUUCCACACGUUCAAACCAAACAGCUGCACUCGGCUGACUCAGUAGGACUGGGCCCCCCCCCAGCUGAUCAGGAAGUCAGCCGGAAAGCACUUCUAUAAUGAGAAACAGGAGGAUGGAGGGAAAAACAACUUGAGUAAAUGCAUUUCAAUCCAGAGAAGAGCUUUUAAAAAACCGUUUAACAUUUAAAGUUCUAUUAUUAUUUUUGGCAGCAUGUUGAGUCCAUGUCUCUUUUUUGGCUACUUUUCUAGUACUUUUUGUAUCUGGAAGCAAAAUUCGCAACCGAUUUCAGUAACUCGGAGAAAGAUUUUUCAGUGUAAUUAUAGGAGGUAUUUAAAUGCUAUCUAAAUGUUAUUUUGUAUACUCACCAAGUAAGAGGCACAACUUAAAAUGACUAUAUAAGUGACCUAUAAUAUAAUUUAUGUUUAUGUCAUUGACAUAGAAAAUGCCUUAAGCAUUAGUCAUUGCAGAAUUAAUUGUAUAACUAAAAACAAACAAAAAAACAAAUCCAAUGUCAAUUACCCAAAAAUUCCAAAUUAAUUACCCAACACAAAAUACAGAUGGUAGGGCCUGGUAUAUUUAUUUUAAUAAACUUUUUAUUAGGAAAAAUUUCAAAUGCAUUCAAGAGUAGAGAGACUAUGUACCUAUCAUCUACCUUCAACAAUUAUCCAUUUAUUGACCCUGGGCAUUGAUGGUGAGAGGAGGGGUUGAUGGUAUGGCCCUUGUGAUAGCUGGAAAGGCAAAACAAUUGUCUAUCAUGGCAGGGAUGGGUCUAUAACCGAUUACCCAUAUUAAUUAUUUGAAGCCAUGGGUAAAAUAGGUAGUUCACAAGCUUAAUUCUGACUUCUGCUUUAACUCAGGCAAAAAAAAAUUCAAGUUUAUCAGCAUUAUUUUCUACCAUGAGCCUAUCAUUGUCCUACAUAUUGUGGUGAACAUAAAGUCGUCAUUAAAAUAUUGGAAUCGUACAUAGUUUCCAUUGGGGGGACUUCCACAUAUAGUCUCUCCAUUACCCUGCCCUGCUCUGCAUCCUGGGAGGCCGAUUUCUACGAAGUUAAAAGUCCCCCUGCCUUCUGGCUUCUGUUGGGUUGAGCCAAGCGGUGGCAGGCAGAGGGACACCAGCAGAACACCGGAGAGUGGGAAGCUAAGUGGAGAGGGUACAGGCUCAUACAGGAUGUGAGGAAGUGCUACGGGGCCUUGACUAUCCAGCCAAUGAGUUAUAUCUGGUUCAAAAGCAAUAACGUGUGCAACAUCACUGAUCAUUAGGGAAUUGCAAAUUAAACCAAAAUGAGAUAUGUCAUACCCAUUAGGAUGGCUAUUAUCGAAAAAACGGAAAAUAACAAACAACUGUUGAUGAGGAUGUACAGAAAUUGAAACCUUUGUGCAUUGCUGGUAGAGAUGUAAAAUGGUGCAGCUGCUGUGGAAAACAGUAUAACAGUUCCUCAAAAAAUGAAACGUAGAAUUACCAUAUGAUCCAGCAAUUCCACUACUGGGUAUAUUACCAGAGAAUUGGUAUAUAAUUUACCCAAAAGAAUUCAAAGCAGAGACUUAAGCAGAUAUUUGUAUACCAAUGU
Molecule: non-coding RNA, 6584 nt
Organism: Equus caballus (horse)
Lineage: Eukaryota; Metazoa; Chordata; Mammalia; Perissodactyla; Equidae
Source: RefSeq, a predicted model, not a curated record